Juglans regia (Persian walnut) is the source of this 680-nucleotide long non-coding RNA. RefSeq lists it as uncharacterized. The record is from RefSeq and is a predicted model, not a curated record. The transcript is spliced from 2 exons. NCBI's taxonomy places the organism in Eukaryota, Viridiplantae, Streptophyta, Magnoliopsida, Fagales, Juglandaceae.
GGGAUAAUGAUAAUGUACUGAAUCUGUUUUAGUCUUUUUCCUGCUUCUAUAGUGUAGUAGGUAUUUCCUUUGUAUACUUCCUGUAUAUUUGGACUAUGCCUAUUCUUGAUAAUAAAAUCUCUUAUUAAUUAUUAAAAAAGAAAUUAUCAAUGAAUGACAACAAGCAGUUUAUCCCAUCACCUUGUGAAUUUAAAUUUUAUCUAACAAUACAAGUUGGCGGGGACAGUAAGUGGUCCAUGAACUAUUUGAAAAACAAUGAUGAUGAUGUCUCCCUGCAGCCCCAGGUGAUUACUGCUGGUAAGAUGGUGUAGUGGGAGGUACCUUCCCUAGCUCAUUCACUAUAGCCAUUAUCCCCAUCAAAAGCUUAUAACGUUGCAAUGCAGGCUACAAAGACUGAGACCGGUUGAACUUACAACACUUCCAUGGGGAGGAAGAGCAGCAUAUUCAUUCUCUUUUUGUGCUACAAUUUGGUGAAAGGUGGAAAAUCAGCUUUGCCUUCUAUCUGGAAGAUCCACGGAUACAGAAAGGAAAUAUAAAUGUGUCUUAAAGUUUGUACUGAUGAAGAAAAACAAACGAGGAAAUAUGUCAGUCUUUCUUGAAUAUAUAUUUGUACUGCAAUAAGAGUAUAAGCUAUGUGUAAGAACGUAGUUAGUUAUAACGUGCACAGAUUGUUCUCUGUA